GAUGAACGCUAGCUACAGGCUUAACACAUGCAAGUCGAGGGGCAGCAUGAUUGAAGCUUGCUUCAAUCGAUGGCGACCGGCGCACGGGUGAGUAACACGUAUCCAACCUGCCGAUAACUCGGGGAUAGCCUUUCGAAAGAAAGAUUAAUACCCGAUAGCAUAGUAUUUCCGCAUGGUUUCACUAUUAAAGAACUUCGGUUAUCGAUGGGGAUGCGUUCCAUUAGAUAGUUGGCGGGGUAACGGGCCCACCAAGUCAACGAUGGAUAGGGGUUCGUGAGAGGAAGGUCCCCCACCAUUGGAACUUGAGACACGGUCCAA
Molecule: ribosomal RNA, 318 nt
Filed under: uncultured bacterium
Lineage: Bacteria
Description: bacterial SSU rRNA
Rfam family: Bacterial small subunit ribosomal RNA
Source: RNAcentral